AUACCUUUCUCGGCCUCUUAGAUAACAUCAAGUGUAGUAUAUGUUUUUAUUAGUUUAAUAUUUGAUAUAUUAAUGAUUGGUCCACAUUAUAUUAAAUUAAUUUUUAUUAGGGAGAUUCCACCAUAAUAGCUUUCAAUUGGGGUUCUCGACUAUUUUUUUUGUAUUACACUAUUGUACAGAUCUAGUAUAUUGUUA
This is a small nuclear RNA of Hibiscus syriacus, 195 nucleotides long. RefSeq annotates it as U2 spliceosomal RNA. The record is from RefSeq and is a predicted model, not a curated record. The transcript has a single exon. Lineage: Eukaryota; Viridiplantae; Streptophyta; Magnoliopsida; Malvales; Malvaceae.